RNAcentral lists this ribosomal RNA (490 nucleotides) under uncultured bacterium. Its description in RNAcentral is "partial 16S ribosomal RNA". It matches the Rfam family "Bacterial small subunit ribosomal RNA", at positions 29 to 505 of the family's 1533-position model. The record is from RNAcentral.
AGUGAACGCUGGCGGUAGGCCUAACACAUGCAAGUCGAACGGCAGCACAGUAAGAGCUUGCUCUUACGGGUGGCGAGUGGCGGACGGGUGAGGAAUACAUCGGAAUCUACUUUUUCGUGGGGGAUAACGUAGGGAAACUUACGCUAAUACCGCAUACGACCUACGGGUGAAAGCAGGGGAUCUUCGGACCUUGCGCGAUUGAAUGAGCCGAUGUCGGAUUAGCUAGUUGGCGGGGUAAAGGCCCACCAAGGCGACGAUCCGUAGCUGGUCUGAGAGGAUGAGCGGCCACACUGGAACUGAGACACGGUCCAGACUCCUACGGGAGGAAGCAGUGGGGAAUAUUGGACAAUGGGCGCAAGCCUGAUCCAGCCAUACCGCGUGGGUGAAGAAGGCCUUCGGGUUGUAAAGCCCUUUUGUUGGGAAAGAAAAGCAGCAGGUUAAUACCCCGCUGUUCUGACGGUACCCAAAGAAUAAGCACCGGCGAACUUCG